CAGUACGACAUUGCUCACAUUGCUUCCAGUAUUUUUGCCCGCACUUGUGCGGGCUUUUUUU
This 61-nucleotide non-coding RNA is filed under the name Klebsiella pneumoniae. The record is from RNAcentral. Lineage: Bacteria; Pseudomonadati; Pseudomonadota; Gammaproteobacteria; Enterobacterales; Enterobacteriaceae.